RNAcentral lists this long non-coding RNA (425 nucleotides) under Gallus gallus (chicken). RNAcentral's name for it is "lncRNA (ENSGALG00010029871.1)". The record is from RNAcentral. Lineage: Eukaryota; Metazoa; Chordata; Aves; Galliformes; Phasianidae.
CCCUGGGAAGGGAUCUUUGGUUGGAGAUUCCUCUUUGAUGAAGCUUUAUCCUGCAAACCUAGACUCUUCUGAAACAGGAAGGCUACAACUCAGCCGUGCCAUUAACCCAGUUCUGCUGAGCUUUGGUCCAGUGCUCCAGCCUUCAAAGCCAUCCUUUCUGCUUGAGGACAGAGAUUCCGGAGACAAGCUCUUGAAACGACACGGCACACAAGGAGAACAGCAAAUGUGAUAGAGACUGGCAUGGCAUAAAUGUUAAAUACCAUCAAAAAUAUUCAUUAGUAGUGUGUAAAAGUAUAGAACCAGCCAAUCUGUGCAUGCCCACAGAUCUGCUAUUGCUGGUCAGUUGGAGUCCCAGAGAAGUCAGCAUUACAAGCCCUAACGCUCCGUGCGUAACGCUGCAGUGGGGCUGGAUGCACUAAUUACAU